Molecule: long non-coding RNA, 1037 nt
Filed under: Homo sapiens (human)
Lineage: Eukaryota; Metazoa; Chordata; Mammalia; Primates; Hominidae
Description: HSALNT0349364
Source: RNAcentral
GGGGGUAGAACCAGGAAGUCUUGUCAAUGGGCAGGGCUUGCGAUCUUCGCAUGUGUCUUAUCGUAAAGAAUUGUUAAAAUUUAGGAUAGGGAAAAAACUAUUUAAUGGAUGAAGCGAGAACAGCAGGAAGAAAAGGAGGGAAGGUAGUUUUCUAGUACAAGCAUAUUGAGAAGAAUGGAGGACAAAGUUUGCGAAGAGCCAGCUAGAUUAACUAGAACUGGACCGAGAGAAAGUCCUCACACCUGAGUUCCUUUCUCAACUCUCCACCAACUGAACCGGGAUGGAAACAGACUAGUGAAGUUCUUUCAGUUCCCUUAAAGGUACUUUGAGGUAUAUAGCAGGUAUCUGAAGAAUGGCCAGUUUACUCUAACACUCUUUGGUGGGCAAAGUACGAAAACUGAAAGACAGCCUAAAGGAUUCCAUUAAGAAAAAAGAGAAAAAAUAGCCUAAUAAAAUAUAGGUGUCGGAGGACCAAUUGUGCAAAAGAGAAUCAAGCUGGAGCUCCCUAUUUUGCAGGAGCUGGGGCUGCACAGGGUGGAGGGAUAUAACGAUUCUCUAGACUUCUCAAGACUGCCUUUAAAAAACUACCUCAACUUCGACUUCUAAUCAAUGAUCUUGCAGCAAGUUUGUAUCUGACCUGGAAUUAGAAACAGCUUCAGAUCCCUACUAAGCAAGUUUGCUUCGGGGUGGGUAGGGGUCUCACCCAAUUACCAAGUCUGUAAGCUGAUUCCCAGCACUUCCUAUCUAUCAUCUGAGUAAAAUAAAUAUAAGUGGAAGGCAAGAGUUCUAUAAACAUUGGGUAUCACCACUGUAUUUUAAGGUAGAGUGACAGGUGUCCUGUAGAGUCCCUGUAAUCACCGGUAACUCUUCAAAAACUUCACGGAGGUUGUAUUAGUAUUUCCUGACUUGCUCCCGCUGACACAUGCCUCCAAGGUCAGCUGGACCAGUGCUACUCAUCACCGCAGUGCAGCUAACUGGACGGCCCACCGGAGGCGUGGACUCCUCGGGAACAGGCAGCUUGCUAUGAGCCCCCGGCC